UACGGAGGAUGCAAGCGUUAUCCGGAAUUAUUGGGCGUAAAGCGUCCGCAGGCGGCCCUUCAAGUCUGUCGUCAAAGACCGGGGCUUAACCCUGGAAAGGCGAUGGAAACUGAAAGGCUAGAGAGAGGUAGGGGUAGAGGGAAUUCCCAGUGUAGCGGUGAAAUGCGUAGAGAUUGGGAAGAACAUCGGUGGCGAAGGCGCUCUACUGGACCUCAUCUGACACUCAGGGACGAAAGCUAGGGGAGCGAAUGGG
This 253-nucleotide ribosomal RNA is filed under the name uncultured bacterium. Its description in RNAcentral is "partial 16S ribosomal RNA". It matches the Rfam family "Bacterial small subunit ribosomal RNA", at positions 524 to 776 of the family's 1533-position model. The record is from RNAcentral.